UUGAUUAAUUUUCGGUAGAGAUUAGAUUUAGAAUCAAAAAUUGAAAUGAAUUUGACUGUGAUUUGAGAGUUGGUAGAAUUAGAAUUGGAUUCAAAGAUUAAAUUUAAAUCUCAAAAAGAAUUAAGAUUUAUCAAAAACUUUUUUGAUCAAUCCUAUAAAUAGAUUCACAGAAAACGAACAAGACACACACAGACAGACGAAAAAACACAAGAGAAAGGAAACAGAAGACAGAGCAAGACUAAAGCGAGCGAAAACCGUGAAUUUGAGGGUCACUCACACUGAAACGUGCACAAAGGAAUGAAUCGCUUAGAACCCUUUUUUCUAAAAAGAAGUACAAGUGGGACGGACUAGCUAAUAGUCCAAUUCCCGAUGGUCGAGAAAGAAGUAAUUACGCAGGGAGUUCCACAGCUGAUUAACUCCUCAAGGCGGGUAAGAGUCAAUCGCACUUUGGAGUUCCGGACGUGCCCACAGCUGAUCAAUGCACGAGGUCUUGUCAGAGCCUGGAGAUGGGGAAGAUGACUACAAUCAAGAUUGUGUUUAGAAUUUUUUUUUUUUCAAUUUUUGGAGUUUU
Molecule: long non-coding RNA, 571 nt
Filed under: Durio zibethinus
Lineage: Eukaryota; Viridiplantae; Streptophyta; Magnoliopsida; Malvales; Malvaceae
Description: long non-coding RNA (DZIB_LNC001333)
Source: RNAcentral